Molecule: ribosomal RNA, 253 nt
Filed under: uncultured bacterium
Lineage: Bacteria
Description: partial 16S ribosomal RNA
Rfam family: Bacterial small subunit ribosomal RNA
Source: RNAcentral
UACAGAGGGUUCUAGCGUUGUUCGGAAUUACUGGGCGUAAAGGGCGCGUAGGCGGCCCGCUAAGUCAGACGUGAAAGCCCUGGGCUUAACCUAGGAACUGCGUUUGAUACUGGCAGGCUAGAAAACGGAAGGGGAAAGCGGAAUUCCUGGUGUAGAAGUGAAAUUCGUAGAUAUCAGGAGGAACACCGAAGGCGAAGGCAGCUUUCUGGUCCGAUUUUGACGCUGAGGCGCGAAAGCGUGGGGAGCAAACAGG